Molecule: ribosomal RNA, 523 nt
Filed under: uncultured bacterium
Lineage: Bacteria
Description: bacterial SSU rRNA
Rfam family: Bacterial small subunit ribosomal RNA
Source: RNAcentral
AACGAACGCUGGCGGCGUGGAUUAGGCAUGCAAGUCGAACGGAACUUCUAGCUUUUUCGGAAGUUUAGUGGCGAAAGGGUGAGUAACACGUGGGUUACCUGCCCUAGGGUUCGGGAUAACCUGUCGAAAGACGGGCUAAUACCGGAUACGUCCUGUGCUUUUCGAAGCACAGGGGAAAGAUGGGGAUCCGUAAGGACCUAUCACCCUUGGAUGAGCCCACGUCCGAUUAGCUAGUUGGUAGGGUAAAGGCCUACCAAGGCCACGAUCGGUAGCUGGUCUGAGAGGAUGAUCAGCCACACUGGGACUGAGACACGGCCCAGACUCCUACGGGAGGCAGCAGUGGGGAAUAUUGGACAAUGGGCGCAAGCCUGAUCCAGCAAUGCCGCGUGUGUGAAGAAGGCCUGCGGGUUGUAAAGCACUUUCAGUGGGGAAGAACAGGUUCGGGUCAAUACCCCGGAGCCCUGACGUUACCCACAGAAGAAAGCACCGGCUAACUCCGUGCCAGCAGCCGCGGUAAUGUAGU